GAUGAACGCUGGCGGCGUGCCUAAUACAUGCAAGUCGAACGAGGUCUUCGGACCUAGUGGCGAACGGGUGAGUAACACGUUGGUACCUACCCCGACGUGGGGAAUAACGGCCCGAAAGGGUGGCUAAUACCGCCUAAUACCGCAAGGUUAAAGCAGUAAUGCGCUUCGGGAGGGGCCUGCGUCCCAUUAGCUAGUUGGUAGGGUAAUGGCCUACCAAGGCGACGAUGGGUAGCUGGAUCGAGAGGUUGACCAGCCACACUGGGACUGAGAUACGGCCCAGACUCCUACGGGAGGCAGCAGUAAGGAAUCUUCCACAAUGGACGAAAGUCUGAUGGAGCAACGCCGCGUGCAGGAUGACGGCCUUCGGGUUGUAAACUGCUUUUAUACGGGAAGAUUAUGACGGUACCGUAUGAAUAAGGACCGGCUAACUACGUGCCAGCCGCCGCGGUAA
This 451-nucleotide ribosomal RNA is filed under the name uncultured bacterium. RNAcentral describes it as "partial 16S ribosomal RNA". It matches the Rfam family "Bacterial small subunit ribosomal RNA", at positions 28 to 523 of the family's 1533-position model. The record is from RNAcentral.